Podarcis raffonei (Aeolian wall lizard) is the source of this 507-nucleotide long non-coding RNA. RefSeq lists it as uncharacterized. Lineage: Eukaryota; Metazoa; Chordata; Lepidosauria; Squamata; Lacertidae. The record is from RefSeq and is a predicted model, not a curated record. The transcript is spliced from 3 exons.
GGGCGGCGGGCGGGGCUAAGGGUUACCUUGGAGCCGGAGCUCGGUUGGUGAUUGGUGGAGAACGCUUGGGAACGACAGCGGACGGCCGCUAGGGGCGCCAGUGUCAAGGGAAGAGCCCGCGCUCUGCUCUCCCACUGUGAAGCUCAGAUUUAUAUGGGGACCGCGAGAAAGGUUAUUCGGCAGAAAGAGAGGGAAUCUAACAGCCAUAACAAUGUGUUUGCCAAUACAGGUCCAACGUCCAUUUCUAGAUUGUGGUGAUAAACUGCAAGAACACAUCAAUAAACACCAGGAUGAACAAGCAGAAUAACAAGGCAGAUAUUAUCCAACUCUCAAAUAGAAGGCAAAUGUAGUGAAAAAUAUAAGACAUGCAAGAAAUACCUAGUGCUGUGAGUACAGAAAAGUAAAGGAAGGUGGCCAGUUUUCUAGUCUUCAAGUGGAAGCAAGUCUUGGACCUUUUCUAGUCUCUCCAACACAAGUUUCACCAAUGGAAAAAAGGAGACUGUCCUG